RNAcentral lists this ribosomal RNA (1439 nucleotides) under uncultured organism. RNAcentral describes it as "SSU rRNA". It matches the Rfam family "Bacterial small subunit ribosomal RNA". The record is from RNAcentral.
AUCUACAGGCUUAACACAUGCAAGUCGAGGGGCAGCAUGGUCUUAGCUUGCUAAGGCCGAUGGCGACCGGCGCACGGGUGAGUAACGCGUAUCCAACCUGCCUUACACUCUUGGACAGCCUUCUGAAAGGGAGAUUAAUACAAGAUGUUAUCAUGAGUAAGCAUUUUCGCAUGAUUAAAGGUUUACCGGUGUAAGAUGGGGAUGCGUUCCAUUAGAUAGUAGGCGGGGUAACGGCCCACCUAGUCUUCGAUGGAUAGGGGUUCUGAGAGGAAGGUCCCCCACAUUGGAACUGAGACACGGUCCAAACUCCUACGGGAGGCAGCAGUGAGGAAUAUUGGUCAAUGGACGAGAGUCUGAACCAGCCAAGUAGCGUGAAGGAUGAAGGUUCUAUGGAUUGUAAACUUCUUUUAUACGGGAAUAAACGGAUCCACGUGUGGAUUUUUGCAUGUACCGUAUGAAUAAGGAUCGGCUAACUCCGUGCCAGCAGCCGCGGUAAUACGGAGGAUCCGAGCGUUAUCCGGAUUUAUUGGGUUUAAAGGGAGCGUAGAUGGGUUGUUAAGUCAGUUGUGAAAGUUUGCGGCUCAACCGUAAAAUUGCAAUUGAUACUGGCAGUCUUGAGUACAGUUGAGGUAGGCGGAAUUCGUGGUGUAGCGGUGAAAUGCUUAGAUAUCACGAAGAACUCCGAUUGCGAAGGCAGCUUACUAACCUGUAACUGACAUUGAUGCUCGAAAGUGUGGGUAUCAAACAGGAUUAGAUACCCUGGUAGUCCACACGGUAAACGAUGAAUACUCGCUGUAGGCGAUAUACAGUCUGCGGCCAAGCGAAAGCAUUAAGUAUUCCACCUGGGGAGUACGCCGGCAACGGUGAAACUCAAAGGAAUUGACGGGGGCCCGCACAAGCGGAGGAACAUGUGGUUUAAUUCGAUGAUACGCGAGGAACCUUACCCGGGCUUAAAUUGCAACCGAAUAUGGCGGAAACGCUAUAGCUAGCAAUAGCGGUUGUGAAGGUGCUGCAUGGUUGUCGUCAGCUCGUGCCGUGAGGUGUCGGCUUAAGUGCCAUAACGAGCGCAACCCUUGCCGAUAGUUACUAACAGGUCAUGCUGAGGACUCUGUCGGGACUGCCAUCGUAAGAUGUGAGGAAGGUGGGGAUGACGUCAAAUCAGCACGGCCCUUACGUCCGGGGCUACACACGUGUUACAAUGGGGGGUACAGAGGGCUGCUACCACGCAAGUGGAUGCCAAUCCCAAAAACCUCUCUCAGUUCGGAUUGAAGUCUGCAACCCGACUUCAUGAAGCUGGAUUCGCUAGUAAUCGCGCAUCAGCCACGGCGCGGUGAAUACGUUCCCGGGCCUUGUACACACCGCCCGUCAAGCCAUGGGAGCCGGGGGUACCUGAAGUGCGUAACCGCAAGGAGCGCCCUAGGGUAAAACUGGUGACUGGG